Molecule: long non-coding RNA, 624 nt
Filed under: Pelobates cultripes (western spadefoot toad)
Lineage: Eukaryota; Metazoa; Chordata; Amphibia; Anura; Pelobatidae
Source: RNAcentral
GUAGAGACUGUCCUGGAGUGUUUGUGCCGCCUGCUUUUCUGGGACUACACACCAAUCUCUCUGGCUGACCAUGCAAUAAGUAUUUUGCAAUUACAUCUGUUUGGUCAUUAUCUAUGCAGGCCAAAGAAACUGAGAUACUUAUUUAUGAGUUCAUAAACUUUGCACGCAAGAACCUGGAAAGUCCUGAAGGUGCAGUGCUGUCUAAUACCGCUGGUUCUGUAAUAACCCUUUCAACCAUUGGGGUGUUGCACAGAGCAUUGUGGUGAAAAUCCAGCAAACAAAAGAAGAACUAUGUGGAAGCUGACAUUGUCUUGUUGUCAGCCAUAUUGCUACCCUUAGCCAUUUUAUGGAACAAAAUGUCUGGUGUCUAGAUUGAUUUCUUUAUACUCUGUGAAAGACUUAUUCUAUUUUUCUGAACUAUUUUUAUUUAGUUAGCCAGAGAGAGGAAGUGUUAGCUGACCCAGGGAUGGAUGUACUAUGUGUGUUUUUGAUAUAUGUUGAGUGUGCCAAGGAUAGAUUCCCAUGUUUUGAGGAACUGCGUGAGGAUAUGACUGGUUUUGACUGGACCUUUGGAAUAGGAAAAUGGUUAAAAGGUAUAGGACACAAGGUCCUGGUUGUGAUUAU